Molecule: ribosomal RNA, 465 nt
Filed under: uncultured bacterium
Lineage: Bacteria
Description: partial 16S ribosomal RNA
Rfam family: Bacterial small subunit ribosomal RNA
Source: RNAcentral
GACGAACGCUGGCGGCGUGCUUAACACAUGCAAGUCGAACGCUGAACCCGCUUCGGUGGGGGAUGAGUGGCGAACGGGUGAGUAACACGUGGGCAACCUGCCCCCGGCUCUGGGAUAACUCCAAGAAAUUGGGGCUAAUACCGGAUGUGACCGCUGGCCGCAUGGUCUGGUGGUGGAAAGGGUUUCCGGCUGGGGAUGGGCCCGCGGCCUAUCAGCUUGUUGGUGGGGUAGUGGCCUACCAAGGCGACGACGGGUAGCCGGCCUGAGAGGGUGACCGGCCACACUGGGACUGAGACACGGCCCAGACUCCUACGGGAGGCAGCAGUGGGGAAUAUUGCGCAAUGGGCGGAAGCCUGACGCAGCGACGCCGCGUGGGGGAUGACGGCCUUCGGGUUGUAAACCUCUUUCAGCAGGGACGAAGCGCAAGUGACGGUACCUGCAGAAGAGGCACCGGCCAACUACGUG